ACCCCCCCCUUCCCCCCCCCGGGCAGUGAGGAAUAUUGGUCAAUGGACGAGAGUCUGAACCAGCCAAGUAGCGUGAAGGAUGACUGCCCUAUGGGUUGUAAACUUCUUUUAUAAGGGAAUAAAGUGAGGGACGUGUCCCUUUUUGUAUGUACCUUAUGAAUAAGGAUCGGCUAACUCCGUGCCAGCAGCCGCGGUAAUACGGAGGAUCCAAGCGUUAUCCGGAUUUAUUGGGUUUAAAGGGAGCGUAGGUUGACAUAUAAGUCAGCUGUGAAAGUUUACGGCUCAACCGUGAAAUUGCAGUUGAUACUGUAUGUCUUGAGUGUACAAGAGGUGGGCGGAAUUCGUGGUGUAGCGGUGAAAUGCUUAGAUAUCACGAAGAACUCCAAUUGCGAAGGCAGCUCACUGGGGUACAACUGACACUGAGGCUCGAAAGUGUGGGUAUCAAACAGGAUUAGAUACCCUGGUAGUCCACACAGUAAACGAUGAAUACUCGCUGUUUGCGAUAUACAGUAAGCGGCCAAGCGAAAAGC
RNAcentral lists this ribosomal RNA (530 nucleotides) under uncultured Bacteroidota bacterium. RNAcentral describes it as "bacterial SSU rRNA". It matches the Rfam family "Bacterial small subunit ribosomal RNA", at positions 324 to 858 of the family's 1533-position model. Lineage: Bacteria; Pseudomonadati; Bacteroidota. The record is from RNAcentral.